RNAcentral lists this ribosomal RNA (400 nucleotides) under Rhizobium sp. IGS7. Its description in RNAcentral is "bacterial SSU rRNA". It matches the Rfam family "Bacterial small subunit ribosomal RNA", at positions 21 to 451 of the family's 1533-position model. Lineage: Bacteria; Pseudomonadati; Pseudomonadota; Alphaproteobacteria; Hyphomicrobiales; Rhizobiaceae. The record is from RNAcentral.
GGCUCAGAACGAACGCUGGCGGCAGGCUUAACACAUGCAAGUCGAACGCCCCGCAAGGGGAGUGGCAGACGGGUGAGUAACGCGUGGGAACAUACCCUUUCCUGCGGAAUAGCUCCGGGAAACUGGAAUUAAUACCGCAUACGCCCUACGGGGGAAAGAUUUAUCGGGGAAGGAUUGGCCCGCGUUGGAUUAGCUAGUUGGUGGGGUAAAGGCCUACCAAGGCGACGAUCCAUAGCUGGUCUGAGAGGAUGAUCAGCCACAUUGGGACUGAGACACGGCCCAAACUCCUACGGGAGGCAGCAGUGGGGAAUAUUGGACAAUGGGCGCAAGCCUGAUCCAGCCAUGCCGCGUGAGUGAUGAAGGCCUUAGGGUUGUAAAGCUCUUUCACCGAUGAAGAUAA